Molecule: signal recognition particle RNA, 97 nt
Filed under: Dickeya solani
Lineage: Bacteria; Pseudomonadati; Pseudomonadota; Gammaproteobacteria; Enterobacterales; Pectobacteriaceae
Also listed under: 2 other names
Description: signal recognition particle sRNA small type
Rfam family: Bacterial small signal recognition particle RNA
About the family: The signal recognition particle (SRP) is a universally conserved ribonucleoprotein involved in the co-translational targeting of proteins to membranes.
Source: RNAcentral
CGUUGGUUCUCCCGCAACACUACCCUGCGGACCCGGUCAGGUCCGGAAGGAAGCAGCCGCAGCAGGCGACGUGUGUGCCGGGAUGUAGCUGGCGGGG